This 253-nucleotide ribosomal RNA is filed under the name uncultured bacterium. RNAcentral describes it as "partial 16S ribosomal RNA". It matches the Rfam family "Bacterial small subunit ribosomal RNA", at positions 524 to 776 of the family's 1533-position model. The record is from RNAcentral.
GACAGAGGGGGCAAGCGUUGCUCGGAAUCACUGGGCGUAAAGGGCUCGUAGGCGGCCAGCUAAGUCAGACGUGAAAUCCCUCGGCUUAACCGGGGAACUGCGUCUGAUACUGGAUGGCUUGAGAUUGGGAGAGGGAUGCGGAAUUCCAGGUGUAGCGGUGAAAUGCGUAGAUAUCUGGAGGAACACCGGUGGCGAAGGCGGCAUCCUGGACCAACACUGACGCUGAGGAGCGAAAGCCAGGGGAGCAAACGGG